CUUCAUCCGGAGUCGUCGUCGCAAUCUAUCCACCUUCGUGAAGCUCCGGAGCCUUCUUAGCGUCUUUGUCUCUCCCUCCUGUAACCGCCUUUGUCUUCGCCUCCUGUAACCGCCUUCGUCUCCAUCUCGUCAACUGAAACCCCUACCUCCGUCUCGUUCUCGUCACCGCCUUCAUCGCCUCUGUCUUACCGUCUUCGUCUCCUCCAUCUCGUUGCUUUCGUCUCCUCUGUUUUUGGUUGCUGAAAUAAAAGCUCUAAAUGAAGAAGACGAAAUCGAAAUUACAUUUAUAUCCUUCACUAAAGAAAAUUAAAAAAAACAAAUGAAAACACGCUGAAUGGUUUUCGAACACGAGAUCAAGCGGUCAAUUAUAAGACGCAACAAAUGGACUGCUGUGAUUUAUUUGUUGUUAUAUAGCGUUAAAGAUAAAUAUUAUGACUAAAAGCCUCUUCUUUACCAUUUCACAACAUUUUGCAAUGCAAUAUAUAUAACUAAAUGAACUAAAUUAAGAUGGUAAAACCAUAACAAUGCAAUAUAUACACCUAAAUGAAACUUAAAAUAUUCUAAAUUAACAAAAAAAACUCUAAAUCAUUCAAAUCAUUGGAUAUCAUUACUAC
This 614-nucleotide long non-coding RNA is filed under the name Brassica rapa (field mustard). RNAcentral describes it as "long non-coding RNA (BRAP_LNC002368)". The record is from RNAcentral. Lineage: Eukaryota; Viridiplantae; Streptophyta; Magnoliopsida; Brassicales; Brassicaceae.